This 337-nucleotide unclassified non-coding RNA is filed under the name soil metagenome. RNAcentral describes it as "partial contains 5.8S ribosomal RNA, internal transcribed spacer 2, and large subunit ribosomal RNA". The stretch from base 1 to 120 matches the Rfam family "5.8S ribosomal RNA", at positions 35 to 154 of the family's 154-position model. The record is from RNAcentral.
GAUGAAGAACGUAGUGAAAUGCGAUAAGUAGUGUGAAUUGCAGAAUUCAGUGAAUCAUCGAAUCUUUGAACGCACAUUGCGCCCCUUGGUAUACCAUGGGGCAUGCCUGUUCGAGCGUCAUUUGUACCUUCAAGCUCUGCUUGGUGUUGGGUGUUUGUCUCGCCUCUGCGUGUAGACUCGCCUCAAAAUAAUUGGCAGCCGGCGUAUUGAUUUCGGAGCGCAGUACAUCUCGCGCUUUGCACUCAUAACGACGACGUCCAAAAGUACAUUUUUACACUCUUGACCUCGGAUCAGGUAGGGAUACCCGCUGAACUUAAGCAUAUCAAUAAGCGGAGGA